This 207-nucleotide ribosomal RNA is filed under the name uncultured bacterium. RNAcentral's name for it is "partial 16S ribosomal RNA". It matches the Rfam family "Bacterial small subunit ribosomal RNA", at positions 568 to 774 of the family's 1533-position model. The record is from RNAcentral.
CAGGUAGGCGGCUUCGUAUGUCCUUUGUGAAAUCCCUCGGCUCAACCGAGGAAUUGCAGGGGAAACUGCGGGGCUUGAGUCCGGGAGAGGGGAGUGGAAUUCCCAGUGUAGCGGUGAAAUGCGUAGAUAUUGGGAGGAACACCAGUGGCGAAGGCGGCUCCCUGGACCGGUACUGACGCUGAGCUGCGAAAGCUAGGGGAGCGAACG